Molecule: ribosomal RNA, 475 nt
Filed under: unidentified nematode Sourhope farm
Lineage: Eukaryota; Metazoa; Nematoda
Description: SSU rRNA
Rfam family: Eukaryotic small subunit ribosomal RNA
Source: RNAcentral
UCUAAGUAUAACCUGCCAGACAGGGAAACUGCGUACGGCUCAUAACACCAGCCUUAAUUUACUUGACCUUGACAACCUACUUGGAUAACUGUGGUAAUUCUAGAGCUAAUACAUGCACCAAAGCUCCGAUCCUCGCGGAGAGGAGCGCAUUUGUUCGCCACAAAACCAAGCGCCCAUCUGGGCGUCCAGUGCUGAACCAGAACAACUCAGCUGAUCGCACGGUCUUGUACCGGCGACGUGUCUUUCAAGUGUCUGCCUUAUCAACUUUCGAUGGUAGUGUACCUGACUACCAUGGUUGUGACGGGUAACGGAGGAUAAGGGUUCGACUCCGGAGAAGGGGCCUGAGAAAUGGCCACUACGUCUAAGGAUGGCAGCAGGCGCGCAAAUUACCCACUCUCAACGCGAGGAGGUAGUGACGAGAAAUAACGAGACCGUUCUCAUACGAGGCCGGUUAUUGGAAUGGGUACAAUUUAAA